GUGGGGGAGAGGCCCCUCAGCGGUGGCGGAGCGGGGGCUCUCGCCCAUCUUAAACCCCCAAAAAUUCCCUAAAAAUUCCAGAAAAAAUUCAAAAUAAACGAAGGGAUGGAUUGAGGCCCCUCCCCCACCUUGGAUGGACCCCUGGAAUUUGGGGGGAUCCCAAAAUGGGGGAUUGGGAAAAUCCCGGGAAUCCCCCCAAGGACCAGGAGGAGGAAGAGGAGGAGGAGGAGGAGGAGGAAGAGCUGGACCCCCGGAUCCAGGAGGAGCUGGAGCACCUGAACGAGGCCAACGCUGAAAUCAACCGGGGGGAGCUGGAGCUGGAUGUGAGCUCCCAGUUUGUCCCAGUUUGUCCCAGUUCGUCCCAGUUCGUCCCAGUUCGUCACAGUUUGUCCCAGUUUGUCCCAGUUUGUCCCUGUUUGUCCCAGUUCAUCCCAGUUUGUCCCAGUUCAUCCCAGUUCCCAUCCCAGUCCAUCCCAGUUUGUCCCAGUUCCCAUCCCAGUUCCCAUCCCACUCCAUCCCAGUCCAUCCCAGUUUGUCCCAGUUCAUCCCAGUCCAUCCCAGUUCAUCCCAGUUCAUCCCAGUCCGUCACAGUUUGUCCCAGUUCAUCUCAGUUUGUCCCAGUUCCCAUCCCAGUUCCCAUCCCAGUUCCCAUCCCAGUCCGUCCCAGUCCAUCCCAGUUCAUCCCAGUCCGUCCCAGUUCAUCCCAGUCCGUCCCAGUCCGUCCCAGUUCAUCCCAGUUUGUCCCCGUUUGUCCCAGUUUGUCCCACUUCCCAUCCCAGUUCCCAUCCCAGUUCAUCCCAGCUCAUCCCAGUUCAUCCCAGUUCAUCCCAGUUCCCAUCCCAGUUAAUCCCAGUUCCCAUCUCAGUUCAUCCCAGUCCAUCCCAGUCCAUCCCAGUUCAUCCCAGUUUUCCCAGUCUGUCCCAGUCCAAACCAAUCCCAAACUGGUUUUCCCCAUCCCUGACUGGUUUUCCCAGUCCAAACCAGUCCCAAACUCCUCUCCCAGUCUGUCCCAGUCCAAACCAGUCCAAACCAGUCCCAAACUGGUUUUCCCAAUCCAAACCAGUCCCAAACUGGUUUUCCCAAUCCCUGACUCCUCUCCCAGUGCAAACCAGUCCAAACCAGUCCCAAACUGGUUUUCCCAAUCCGUCCCAGUCCAAACCAGUCCUAAACUGGUUUUCCCAGUCCAAACCAGUCCCAAUCUGGUUUUCCCAAUCCCUGAUUGGUUUUUCCAGUCCAAACCAGUCCAAACCAGUCCCAAACUGGUUUUCCCAAUCCGUCCCAGUCCAAACCAGUCCCAAACUGGUUUUCCCAGUCCCAAAUUCCUGUCCCAG
RNAcentral lists this long non-coding RNA (1331 nucleotides) under Serinus canaria (Common canary). RNAcentral describes it as "lncRNA (ENSSCAG00000007371.1)". Lineage: Eukaryota; Metazoa; Chordata; Aves; Passeriformes; Fringillidae. The record is from RNAcentral.